UGGGGGAUAUUGCACAAUGGGCGAAAGCCUGAUGCAGCGACGCCGCGUGGGGGAUGAAGGCCUUCGGGUUGUAAACUUCUUUUGCUCUGAACAAGGCAUGCUAAUGGGUGUGUUGAGUGUAGGGGUUGAUUAGCGCCGGCUAACUACGUGCCAGCAGCCGCGGUAAUACGUAGGGCGCGAGCGUUGUCCGGAAUUAUUGGGCGUAAAGGGCUUGUAGGUGGCUGGUUGCGUCUGUCGUGAAAGCUCAUGGCUUAACUGUGGGUUUGCGGUGGGUACGGGCUGGCUUGAGUGCAGUAGGGGAGGCUGGAAUUCCUGGUGUAGCGGUGGAAUGCGCAGAUAUCAGGAGGAAUACCGGUGGCGAAGGCGGGUCUCUGGCCUGUUACUGACACUGAGGAGCGAAAGCAUGGGGAGCGAACAGG
RNAcentral lists this ribosomal RNA (419 nucleotides) under bacterium. Its description in RNAcentral is "partial 16S ribosomal RNA". It matches the Rfam family "Bacterial small subunit ribosomal RNA", at positions 355 to 776 of the family's 1533-position model. The record is from RNAcentral.